CUGCGUGCUUAACACAUGCAAGUCGAACGCUGAAGCCCUGCACAGCUUGCUGGGGUGGAUGAGUGGCGAACGGGUGAGUAACACGUGAGUAACCUGCCCCUGACUUCGGGAUAAGCCCGGGAAACUGGGUCUAAUACCGGAUACGACCGUACGACGCAUGUCUGGUGGUGGAAAGUUAUUUCGGUUGGGGAUGGGCUCGCGGCCUAUCAGUUUGUUGGUGAGGUAAUGGCUCACCAAGACGACGACGGGUAGCCCGGCCUGAGAGGGCGACCGGCCACACUGGGACUGAGACACGGCCCAGACUCCUACGGGAGGCAGCAGUGGGGAAUAUUGCACAAUGGGGGAAACCCUGAUGCAGCGACGCAGCGUGCGGGAUGACGGCCUUCGGGUUGUAAACCGCUUUCAGCAGGGAAGAAGCCUUCGGGUGACGGUACCUGCAGAAGAAGUACCGGCUAACUACGUGCCAGCAGCCGCGGUAAUACGUAGGGUACGAGCGUUGUCCGGAAUUAUGAGGCGUAAAGAGCUCGUAGGUGGUUGGUCACGUCUGCUGUGGAAACGCAACGCUUAACGUUGCGCGUGCAGUGGGUACGGGCUGACUAGAGUGCAGUAGGGGAGUCUGGAAUUCCUGGUGUAGCGGUGAAAUGCGCAGAUAUCAGGAGGAACACCGGUGGCGUAAGGCGGGACUCUGGGCUGUAACUGACACUGAGGAGCGAAAGCAUGGGGAGCGAACAGGAUUAGAUACCCUGGUAGUCCAUGCCGUAAACGUUGGGCACUAGGUGUGGGGGGCAUUCCACGCUCUCCGCGCCGUAGCUAACUCAUUAAGUGCCCCGCCUGGGGAGUACGGUCGCAAGGCUAAAACUCAAAGGAAUUGACGGGGGCCCGCACAAGCGGCGGAGCAUGCGGAUUAAUUCGAUGCAACGCGAAGAACCUUACCAAGGCUUGACAUACACUGAACCGGUCUGGAAACAGUCCUUCCCCUUUGGGGUUGGUGUACAGGUGGUGCAUGGUUGUCGUCAGCUCGUGUCGCGAGAUGUUGGGUUAAGUCCCGCAACUGGCGCAACCCUCGUUCUAUGUUGCCAGCACGUGAUGGUGGGAACUCAUAGGAGACUGCCGGGGUCAACUCGGAGGAAGGUGGGGAUGACGUCAAAUCAUCAUGCCCUUUAUGUCUUGGGCUUCACGCAUGCUACAAUGGCUGGUACAGAGAGAGGCGAACCCGUGAGGGCAAGCGAAUCCCUUAAAGCCAGUCUCAGUUCGGAUCGUAGUCUGCAAUUCGACUACGUGAAGUCGGAGUCGCUAGUAAUCGCAGAUCAGCAACGCUGCGGUGAAUACGUUCCCGGGCCUUGUACACACCGCCCGUCAAGUCACGAAAGUCGGUAACACCCGAAGCCGGUGGCCUAACCCCUUGUAUGCACGUACU
Molecule: ribosomal RNA, 1417 nt
Filed under: uncultured Brevibacterium sp.
Lineage: Bacteria; Bacillati; Actinomycetota; Actinomycetes; Micrococcales; Brevibacteriaceae
Description: bacterial SSU rRNA
Rfam family: Bacterial small subunit ribosomal RNA
Source: RNAcentral